Molecule: ribosomal RNA, 429 nt
Filed under: Bacteroidota bacterium
Lineage: Bacteria; Pseudomonadati; Bacteroidota
Description: Bacteroidetes bacterium partial 16S ribosomal RNA
Rfam family: Bacterial small subunit ribosomal RNA
Source: RNAcentral
UAGGGAAUCUUCCGCAAUGGACGCAAGUCUGACGGAGCAACGCCGCGUGAGUGAAGAAGGAUUUCGGUUCGUAAAACUCUGUUGUUAGAGAAGAACAGCGCAUAGAGUAACUGUUAUGCGUGUGACGGUAUCUAACCAGAAAGCCACGGCUAACUACGUGCCAGCAGCCGCGGUAAUACGUAGGUGGCAAGCGUUGUCCGGAUUUAUUGGGCGUAAAGCGAGCGCAGGCGGUCAAUUAAGUCUGAUGUGAAAGCCCCCGGCUCAACCGGGGAGGGUCAUUGGAAACUGGUUGACUUGAGUGGAGAAGAGGAGAGUGGAAUUCCAUGUGUAACGGUGAAGUGCGUAGAUAUAUGGAGGAACACCAGUGGCGAAGGCGACUCUCUGGUCUGUAACUGACGCUGAGGCUCGAAAGCGUGGGUAGCAAACAGG